Molecule: long non-coding RNA, 3218 nt
Filed under: Triticum aestivum (bread wheat)
Lineage: Eukaryota; Viridiplantae; Streptophyta; Magnoliopsida; Poales; Poaceae
Description: long non-coding RNA (TAES_LNC004036)
Source: RNAcentral
UUUUUUUUCUUAACUGCAGAUUUCACCAACUAUUACGUACAUAUAUUGUGUUACUGGACAUUACCUCUAUAUGUGUUCACUUGAAAAGAUAAGACUAUUUUAUCGACCAAUAUUUUCCACUUCCAUUUGAAGGGAAUAUUAUGGUUCUCUAGGGAUUUAUGUUAUCUUACCGUUCUAUAUGAUGAAAAUGAUUCUCUUCUUCAUUCCCUUUCUAUCCACCUCUAACAUGUUGUUUGCUGCUUUUUCCUUGUUAUGAUUUUUCCUGCUCUUUUAAAAAUCAUUAACUCAUUAGGCAUAUAAGAAAAAGAAUGCAAGGUUUAGUAAGGUGCUUUUGGAACUUAAAAAAGGUUCAUUCUUAUUCUAAAGGAGGGUAUGCAAUCAAUAUCGUGGCAUUCUGAUGGCUCUUGUAAGUUUCAAAUGGGAGAUUAUGGGACAACUUGAUUGUUAACCUCCAUUAUUAUUAAACAAUCAAACUAAAGCUUUCUUACAUGCACCCCGCAGUUAGCCCCAUAACACCGCACGAUCAAAUCAGCGCCACAGGAUUAGCCACAAAUCUCCAUCUAACAGCUAUCUUUAAUCUAAUCCGAUCCCUGAUGUGCAGUUAGUAAUUUAACAUGACUGACCGUACUCCACCGCGGAGGAAAACACCUCCGCACAGAACGCACAAAGCAUUUUCCUCUAUAUUAUCCCUUCCGCCAAUCACUAUCCUACCUCGCCCACCCCGCACUCCCGAUCUCUGCCGCCACCUCCUGCAUCGACCUCCGCUGGUGCCGCUACCUCCUAUGCCCCGGCCCGCGCCCCCCCCCAACGCCGACCUCCGUCGGCGCUCCUCCCGUCCUGCACGCCCAACGAAUCUUCACCAGAGCGCCUCCACGCAGAGAACGCCGGGGCGCAUGGGGAACCUCCAUUGCACUCCCUUCCAACGGGCGCCCGGCGGGAACUCAGCUCCUCCCCUCUCUCUUCUUCACCACCAACCCAGCCCACCAAUGACGAACCAAGACGAGGAGGUGGCAGCUGAAAUUUUGGAUCGCUCACAGGGUGCAGAGAUCCAACAAGCGACGGGGGCGGCGCUUCAAGCUCUGCAGGUAUUGCCCCCCCUCCCCGGCAUGUUUCCUAUUUAUUUGACUCUCUCUGGGGAGGUCCGCCUACGGGGAACCGGCAGCACCCACGGUGCGGCUUGGUUUGUGCAGACGUCCAGUCCACUAUAAUUAACACCAAACACCUCAACCCAGAUUGAUUUCAUGGCAAAAUCAAAGCUUGUCAUGUGUACCUCUAUUGCAGGAAUAGGAUUAAUGGCACACGAGAAGAAUUCGUCAAACACGCUCUCGGCCUGAUGUAAGUACUACUUCUAGGCAAGCUUUUGGAUGACACCGGUUCAUAAUUCAACAAGCAUACCAAGCUUCUCAAGACCCAGAAGUUCGCGUCCAAGCUUGACCACAUGGUUACGUUUUUUUAAUGUCCAGAUUAGUUUUUUUUCGUGCCCUAUGCCUCCAUUGAGUUCUAGCUUUCAGAGUGGAGUUAACUAUCAAACGUGGGUUCAAGUUAAACUCUAAUUUAUUUAUUCCUUUGGAUUCAAGUGGACAUGUCAUAGGUGCAGAUGGGCUUGAUUAAGCCGUGAAAUCAACUUCAUAUACAGACUGACGUAAACGUGAAGUUUUUUAGUAGAUAUUUCUUCAAAAUAUGAAUGGUGCUUGCUUCUUGCGUCCAAAUAUGAUUCACUGGUUUGUUGCUUCAAAUUAGGUUUGAACCAACCAUGCGUACAGUGAACACAUCAUAAUUAUGAGCUGAAUUUUUUGCGUUCCAUUAAUUUUCGUAACAUGUUUUUUGGCAUUGUUGUUGCUAAUUUCUUUGACAUUGAUUUUCAUAGCUUGCCGUUUGACACCGUCGGCCUCGCGAACAAACCAUACCUACAGUAAGCAGAUCGCUAUUAUUAGCAGAAACUUUUUGUAUUCCAUUGAUUUUCAUAGCAUGCUUUUAUUUUGCUAAUUUCCUUAACAUUGAUUUUCAUAGCAUGCUGUUUGAUACCGUCGGCCUCGCCGUACUCAGUCAGGUUUCCACGGGAAGGCGUCAGGUAGCCAUUUAUCAUGUUUCUCCUAUUUUCUUUCUCCAUGCAUCCGUCCAUCAUGUGCUUUGAAAGCUGCUAUAGGUUCAUGGCCCGAUUUACUUUCAGGAGUUCCAUAUGAACUGGUUGACUGUGGGUGUGGGCAUGGGUUCCUCGGAGAAGGGAUCCACUCUUUCACAGCUAAGUAUUUUUUACCUAAAAAAAGAUCCAUGUCUACACUGCUAUAGAUUUGGUGUAACUCAUAUUACAAGUAUGCCUCUAUAUAUGUUCCCAAAUGAGCGAACCCCUUGCAAUGUCAAGGUUAUGCAUGUCUUUCACAUUGUUGCUUCCCAUUGCCCAUUGGUAUCUGCCUCGGAUGGCUUCACCAUUGCAAAAGCUAUUGUAGUCGUGCACAACAUACUUCACUGAACUCUUUGUAGCUUUGUGGAAUUUUGCUAAAAACUGUUGUUACUAUUUCAGCAUCGAGAGUGAUGUUAUUUUCUUCCUAUGUUGUAGACGCUAGAAACGUUUGGUGAAAGGAAACACCAUCAUGGUCUUUUAUAGAGCUACAAAUGAAUCUUUACCAAUGUUUUUCCGUAGGCAAUUGCUCUGCUUGAAACUGUGAGGUCGGUAUUUUGAUUUUGAUUUUUUUUCUUAACUGCAGAUUUCACCAACUAUUACGUACAUAUAUUGUGUUACUGCACAUUACCUCUAUAUGUGUUCACUUGAAAAGAUAAGACUAUUUUAUCGACCAAUAUUUUCAACUACCAUUUGAAGGGAAUAUUAUGGUUCUCUGGGGAUUUAUGUUAUCUUACCGUUCUAUAUGAUGAAAAUGAUUCUCUUCUUCAUUCCCUUUCUAUCCACCUCUAACAUGUUGUUUGCUGCUUUUUCCUUGUUAUGAUUUUUCCUGCUCUUUAAAAAAUCAUCAACUCAUUAGGCAUAUAAGAAAAAGAAUGCAAGGUUUAGUAAGGUGCUUUUGGAACUUAAAAAAGGUUCAUUCUUAUUCUAAAGGAGGGUAUGCAAUCAAUAUCGUGGCAUUCUGAUGGCUCUUGUAAGUUUCAAAUGGGAGAUUAUGGGACAACUUGAUUGUUAACCUCCACUACUAUUAAACAAUCAAACUAGAACUUUCUUACAUGCACCCCGUAGUUAGCCCCAUAACACCGCACGAUCAAAUCAG